This 2919-nucleotide long non-coding RNA is filed under the name Acyrthosiphon pisum (pea aphid). RNAcentral describes it as "uncharacterized LOC115033865". Lineage: Eukaryota; Metazoa; Arthropoda; Insecta; Hemiptera; Aphididae. The record is from RNAcentral.
CCGUCUCAUCGUUUAAAAUAAUAAUAAUAAUAAUAAUAAUAAAAAAUACGUGUCAUAUACACUAAAGGUAAAAGAAUCCAGUCGAGAACGGGCGACGGAGCAGGAGAAUCUACGGCUCGUUUGUUUGCGUGCGUGCGCGCGCGCGUCUCUCUGCAGCCUCUCGCCGCGUCGCGGUAGUCAUCGUCGGCCGUAUAUAUAGUAUAUACCUCGCCUCGCCGCCGCAUCAUCUGACGGCCGUACCUACCUAUAUAUUAUUAUAUUUAUUAUAUAUGUACCUAUCUAUACAUAUACACUCACGAGCACAUAGUGUCCGCCGCGGUGGGUUACACGACGACGACGACGGCUAAGUCGACGACGAAGACGACGAAGACGACUGACUACUACUACGACGGGUUUAAAAAAUAAGUAUAAAAAAAAAAGCCGGCCGCUGCCUCGGCUAUUCAAUAAUGAAUACACACACACACACACACCGGAGCCAAAGACUAUGUACAGGACACACAUACGCGCGUAUUAUAUAUAUAUAUAUAUUUACAUAUACGAAAAAAGAAAAAAGAAACCGACAGAGUGUCUGUGUGUGUGUGAGUGCGAGCUCAAUGAACUUUGUGAGUCCGCGGGACACCCUCCACAGUGUAAUAUAGUAUAUAUAUAUAUAUACAUAUUAUUAUCAUGUGUGGUGGACGUGUCUGGCAGGGUGGUUAGUGGAAUGCCAGAAAACCGAGUGGUAGGUACAGUGGUAUACCUAUGGAAUAAGAAUAAUAAAUCGAUAUUAAUUUUUAUAGUGAUCGCAUUAUAAUAAUAAUUUAGCUCGACUAAUCAUAAAAAUCUGUUGUCGAUCUCGUUGGUGAUCCUCAUCGUCCUGUACAACGAGGGGGUGCAGGUGGUUUGUGGUGCAUAGGUAUUAUCAAGAUAAGUAAUAAGGAAGGUGAGAUAUACACUCAUAUAAAGGUAUAAGAACGCAACAGAUAUAGAUCAGCAUAUUGACCUACGCAGUGCUUGAAUUGGGAAAAAAUCAUAAGUGAGAUGCAAAGGUGUGAAAAAAAUUUGCCGAACUGCAUAUUGAGAUAUUGUCCUGUUGUUAUCGACAGUCGUAAUAAUGGAUACACAGUUAGAAGUAGCACCCAUAAAUAUAUUUUUUAAGAAGAAGAACUCGAUCCUCCCCCCGCGGACUCUAUCUAUCUUGCAACCACCGUACCUACCUAUAUAUAGGUACUUGGACCGCAUAUAUAUAGUUUUCGUGCUUAUAAAUAUAAUAAUAUAUAUAUAUAUAUAUACAUACUAUUAUGUAUUACGUGUGACGCCGAUCUAUAUCUGAGCCGUUUAUCGAUCCGCACGCCAACCUCUAUCGCGCGCGUUGUGCCUACGCAGUGGCGAUCGAAUCAGUCGAUAAAGUCGUUUGCCGCUGCUAACGAGACGGUCCCGAGAAGUUUUUUACCAAGUUUUUUUUUUUUUUUAUUGCUUCGACUAUAAUAUAAUAAUAUGUUCAUGCGUAUCGUAUAUAUAGGUAGGUACCAGCUACUCGCGCGCAUUUGAAUAAUUUCGACGGACACUCGCCAACACGUGACACGCACGCACACACAUUAUAUUGUUAUUCGUGUCUGCAGCGCGACAAUGCAAACUGUCGCGGGCGGAAACCGUAAACUUUUAAACGAAACCUUUUUCCAAUUCUUCGGGAAAUUCGACGAGUUUAAAAACCCGUUCGCGUAUUCACCGUCGUCGUCGUAAUAAUAUACAUACUAUUAUCGUAAUAACACGAAUACGUCGAGGUCCAAAUUCGGAGACAUAUAAUUCAAUACAAUAUCGAAAACGUCGUGAACGCGCGUCCUAAAUACUUAAAUGUUUAUCGUCUGCUACAGGUCCUCUCCGGCGUGGACGUAAUAAUAUAAUAUAUUAUUGUUGCGAUUAUUAUUAUAUUGUCACACACGUCGCGUAGUCCGAUGUCGUUGACGAAACUCAGUCACCAUAACGAUAUUAUGCAAUAAUAAUACAUUUUGACAAUGAUUUUCGCAGGCACGAACGAUUGCUCUCGAGAGUUGGACGUUUACAAAAUUUGAGGAUCCGAAAGACGUCCGACGAUGCGUCUCUGUUGUUGUCUAGUCGACGGAUAUGUGACGGGGUUGGUCAGCUGUUAUACAUUAUUUCAUUGUAUGGUUUUCCCUCCUGAGGAGAGAUUAACCACAAGGGUCAGCGGUAUGCGGUCGUCGGUAUACUAUAUUAUGUGGAGACGAGUCGACCGAAAACUCUAUAUCACUUGAUGAGUACCGGUGAAAAUGUGCAGCUGAAAAACGUUAAUAACAGAGCCUUACGAUUUCCUGAACGAUGACCUGCGCAGUGCACGACACAUGCACCCGUCAAUGCAAAACGUUCAACGAGCUGCACCAAAUAUGCAGAUGACAACAGCCACAUCGUGUGAAAUAAAAAAGUCGUCGACAAGUCUGUAGCCGUUCUCGACGAAUCACAAUCACGUAUUUUUAACUCGAAUUUGAGCAUAAAAUAUGUAUUUUAUAAUAUACAGUAUAAUCCGACGCAAAACAAUAGUGGUUUAGAAUCGUUCGAAAAUUAUUAUUAGUUAAUCGGACCGAUUAAACAUUAAAUAGAGCUUUGCAAUUUGUACUGUGCACAGGGGCCGCGUGCUCACCGGGGGGGGGGGGGUCAUGAGGUUCAAACCCUCCCCAUUGACGGUAUUAUUUUUAUUUUUUAUUAUAAAACAAAUAAUGCAUCUUUAUAAUGUACUUUUCGAAUUAUAUUAUCAUAAAAUUUCCCAAUUCGUGUUCUAUCGUUAAAUGCUUCCAACUUCGAAUAUGUACACUGCCCCGCAGUUGCCGAUACUUUUAAUAGGUACUCAAAAUAUAAAUUUGUUUUUUAGGCUUUCAGUGUUUAUUUUCUGGAACUUAUUCAGAAAACUUUGAUGAACUUGUUGAA